UCGGGAAUUUUGGGCAAUGGGGGAAACCCUGACCCAGCAACGCCGCGUGAAGGAUGAAGUAUUUCGGUAUGUAAACUUCGAAAGAAUAGGAAGAAUAAAUGACGGUACUAUUUAUAAGGUCCGGCUAACUACGUGCCAGCAGCCGCGGUAAUACGUAGGGUGCAAGCGUUAAUCGGAAUUACUGGGCGUAAAGCGUGCGCAGGCGGUUGUGUAAGUCAGAUGUGAAAUCCCCGGGCUCAACCUGGGAAUUGCAUUUGAGACUGCACGGCUAGAGUGUGUCAGAGGGGGGUAGAAUUCCACGUGUAGCAGUGAAAUGCGUAGAUAUGUGGAGGAAUACCGAUGGCGAAGGCAGCCCCCUGGGAUAACACUGACGCUCAUGCACGAAAGCGUGGGGAGCAAACAGGAUUAGAUACCCUUGUAGUCCCUGAGCGGGCUGGCAAGGCGCAU
RNAcentral lists this ribosomal RNA (447 nucleotides) under uncultured bacterium. Its description in RNAcentral is "bacterial SSU rRNA". It matches the Rfam family "Bacterial small subunit ribosomal RNA", at positions 355 to 825 of the family's 1533-position model. The record is from RNAcentral.